This is a long non-coding RNA of Papaver somniferum (opium poppy), 1231 nucleotides long. RefSeq lists it as uncharacterized. Lineage: Eukaryota; Viridiplantae; Streptophyta; Magnoliopsida; Ranunculales; Papaveraceae. The transcript has 4 exons. The record is from RefSeq and is a predicted model, not a curated record.
UGUCCCGCCGGUUGAAUCCCACGGAUCAUCCCGAUUUGUGUUUUGUGAGAGAGGGGUUGGACCCGCACUUAACCCAUCCGCCAAACCGCCAAAUCAUAAGGGAAUUCACUUUUUUCUUUUUUCUCGUCGAGAUACAUCGCGGGACCAGCCCGCGGUGACCGUAUCAUUUCCGUUCUCCAACUCUUUUUAAUGAGCAUUUCUUUACUUCAUCUCUCACCUCUACUGAAAUUAAACUUCUUUUACUAUCCCUUGUAUUCAAACUAGGUACCUCGAUCUUGUUUUUCCCUACACCUUGUGAGAUAAAAAGAAGAUCGAAUAAUUAACUAAUGAAGAAAAAAAGAAAAAAUUUAGUUCACGGUUUGCUGAUUGUUAUUUAAUUGAUACGAGCGGAUUCAGAAAAGAAGUAAUAACGAAUGGUGCUUGGCGUUCUACCUGGUGUAUGUCUUUUGAGCGAUGGAAUAUACGGGGUUGCUUAAACAGGUUGCGUAUCUCGAACGAUAACAUCGCCAUUGGAUGUUAUCAAGAUUUGAGUUCUGAACCUACAGUGUUGCACAAGAUUUAAACUUCUGUUUCACGUUCAUCUAAAUCAGAUUGUGGGACUUCCUAGGGAUCUAAAAUAUGGAGCUCGAGUUGAGCACCAUGCUUAUAAUGGCAUUUUUGAUGCCCUAUGGCGUAUCUUGGUUACCGAGAGGUGGGCUGGUCUUUACUAGGGUAUUAUCCCUUUCGUUAUCAAAGCUGCUCCAGCUGCUGCUGUCACAUUUGUGACACAUGAAUACACAUCAAGACGAAUGGGGUUCUAACCAUUUUGAUAUGUAUUCAUAGGUCACGAAUGUGCCAGCACAAAAACAACUGCAGACGCAACGAAUAGAGAGUGAACUUGUUCGUUUAGUUUCAUCCAGAAACCACUGGGAUUUGAGAAAUUCUAUCUUCAUUAAUUACUUAAGAUCUUCUUUGUAGUUUUGUUAUCAAUUUAAUUUAACUCCGUAUUACUUUUGUAAUGGCAUAAAAAAAAGAGAGGGUGGUGUAGGGCGUACCGCCCAUCGAUGUGCGGCCUAACUAGAAUUUGCCUUUCCAUGUGUAUAUACUAGAAUUUUACCCGUGUCGUAAUGGCACGGUCUCUGUAGUAAGUAAAAAAAAUUAUGGUGGGAAUUAUAUAAAUGUCCUCAAUUCUAACGGGUUGUACAAAUAGUCUUAUCCUACAAUAAAAAUACCCCUCUCCAUCCAAAGCCCA